CGCUGUCGUGUGCUUUAGUUAAAUUAGUUGCUAGUUUAUGUUAUUGUUUUCACAGUUCAGAACUUCUGUUUGUUUGCAAUUAAGUCCUACUGGUGGUUAAUCGUGGGAGUGUGCUGUUGAGAUCAUGGCUGAUCUCAAGGCCACAGAAUUAUGACUUUUAAUGAAGAUUCCUGCAACUAAUUUCAAUUGUCAGUUUGCUUAUCCUGUGCCUUAACAUGUGAUAUCAGAGCCCUAACAAACUGUAACCAAAUCAACAGAAUUGAGUGAUAGAAAAGAGAGGUGAGUUGAAAGUAUUGUGAGUAGAACUUGUGAGUGUUAGAACAAACUCGUGAGAAGAAGAAACAAGCAAAAUAUGGCAGAGAGUUUUGCAGCAGUGAGUAUCCCCAAGUAUGAUGGAGAUUACGAUCAUUGGAGCCUCUUAAUGGAGAAUCUAUUG
RNAcentral lists this long non-coding RNA (436 nucleotides) under Linum usitatissimum (flax). Its description in RNAcentral is "long non-coding RNA (LUSI_LNC003348)". The record is from RNAcentral. Lineage: Eukaryota; Viridiplantae; Streptophyta; Magnoliopsida; Malpighiales; Linaceae.